AAAUGGUCAAUUACAAAGCACAACAUAAGACUGGAACAUUGGAGUUAAGUAGCAGAGAUCAAAAUUUGUCAGUUUCAAAUACUCAUGUAUCUGAUUGUCAAUGCUGGAGAGCUGGGGCCAGGGCAGUAGUUGAUGGAUAUCACCUGACUGUCUCCUGCAGCAAAAGCAUUCCCAGAAGCACGGAGAAGUGAGGAGAAAAGGCAAUGCACCUGGAGCUGGAGACCAAGACCCCGUUCUUACUGAUGGCCCUUGGAGCAGAUAUUUGAAUUGGAGAGAUAAAACCGUGGUUUUUGGGGUGUUAAUUUUGGUGGCUGAUGCAUUCUGUGAUUGAUUUGGCUAUUACAACUGGUAUUGAUUUUAAACACAUUAAUUGCAAAAUCUCAAUUGUGAUUUGAUUUCUGUAUUUACAAUACUAAAAACGAGGCUUUCGCCAGGAGAAGACAAUUGGCAGUACUCAGUUGGAAGUGCUUAAUUGUUAAUAUGUAUCAGCCGUGGUUCUUCAGCGUCGUCAGUGUUGCUCAGUCUUGCUCUUUGUGGCGACUACUGAAUGCUUGAAAAAUUCUCUCCUAUACUCCCACUCUGCGCUGUAGAAGAGAAAGAGAGGAGAGUGGAAGAAAAAAGAGAGGGAGAGGAGAAAGAAAGAAAGGAGAGAGAAACAUGGGCAUGGAUGAUACAUAAGAUAAUUCCAGAAGAUUUCAGCAUAGCAGAUAAAAUACAGCAAAUCCUAACCAGCACAGGUUUGAGUGACAAACGGGCCGGUUCCAUGGGCACAGAUGACUUCAUCAGGGGCACAGAGUUGGUUGAUGAAUGGAGGGCUGGAGCUUGAGGCUGGAUGUGUACCCCAGAAGGGUCUCUAAGAUUCAAAACCUUUUCAUACCAAUGUCCCUAAUUCCUCCAUGUUAUUGGCAUUGGACUUGAUCUCUCUUCAUACAUAUUUUUGUAUACAUAAGGUGUGCAAGGGUGUGUGUGCAUGUGUGUGUGUGUGUGUGUGUGAGGGAUAGGGUCUCAGAGUGAAUGUAUUUGUUUUUUCUACUUUGACCUUGUACACAGUGACCUUUCUAAAUUUUUAUUUUAAUUGUUUUUCAAUUGUUUAUGUAGACAAUCAUGCUGUCUGAGUAGAGAUAUUCACAUCUUCCUUUAAAGCAUUUAUUCAUUUUAUUUACAUCUUCCUUUAAAACAUUUAUUCAUUUUAUUUAUUUCCCUUGCCUUAUUGUGCCAGCUAGAAUCUGCAGUAAAAUUUGGAAUUGCACGUGGUGAUAAUGGACACCCUUGUUUUAUCCUUGAGCUCAGGGAGAUAUGAUUCAAUACUUUACCAGGAGCAUAACGUCAGCUAUGGUUGUUUUGUAGCUAUUCAUCAUUAGCAUGAAAUGUUUCUUUGUAUUUCUUGCUUACUAAAAAUUUUUAUCAUGGAAAGAUAGGGAAUUUAGUAAAAUG
Pan paniscus (pygmy chimpanzee) is the source of this 1434-nucleotide long non-coding RNA. Lineage: Eukaryota; Metazoa; Chordata; Mammalia; Primates; Hominidae. The record is from Ensembl.